GAUGAAGAACGCAGCGAAAUGCGAUAAGUAAUGCGAAUUGCAGAAUUCAGUGAGUCAUCGAAUCUUUGAACGCACAUUGCGCCCGCCAGUAUUCUGGCGGGCAUGCCUGUUCGAGCGUCAUUUCAACCAUCAAGCCCCAGGCUUGUGUUGGAGCCCUGCGGCUGCCGCAGCCUCCCAAAACCAGUGGCGGGCUCGCUAUCACACCGAGUGCAGUAGUUUACUCUUCGCUCAGGGCGUGUGGCGGGUGCUAGCCGUGAAACCCCCAACUUCUCAAGGUUGACCUCGGAUCAGGUAGGAAUACCCGCUGAACUUAAGCAUAUCAAUAAGCGGAGGA
Molecule: unclassified non-coding RNA, 334 nt
Filed under: soil metagenome
Description: partial contains 5.8S ribosomal RNA, internal transcribed spacer 2, and large subunit ribosomal RNA
Rfam family: 5.8S ribosomal RNA (bases 1-120)
Source: RNAcentral